This 202-nucleotide ribosomal RNA is filed under the name Acinetobacter sp. TTK-005. RNAcentral describes it as "partial 16S ribosomal RNA". It matches the Rfam family "Bacterial small subunit ribosomal RNA", at positions 51 to 251 of the family's 1533-position model. The record is from RNAcentral. Lineage: Bacteria; Pseudomonadati; Pseudomonadota; Gammaproteobacteria; Moraxellales; Moraxellaceae.
ACACAUGCAGUCGAGCGGGCGGAGGUAUGCUUCGUGUAACUGAGCUAGCGGCGGACGGGUGAGUAUAUGCUUAGGAAUCUGCCUAUUAGUGGGGGACAACAUUCCGAAAGGGAUGCUAAUACCGCAUACGUCCUACGGGAGAAAGCAGGGGAUCUUUUGGACCUUGCCCUAAAAAAUGACCCUACUCGGAGUUACCUAGUUG